AGUCUGAUCAAUCCGGCACAUCAGCCAUGGGGAAUCGCGACUGGUGACCUCGCCGCCGAAUUUGUAUUUGAAUUCCAUUCGAUUUUGAAUUUGCCGGAAUCUGCCGUGAACAAGCCCGUUGUCCUGUCGGAAGACACCCUCGCCGCGCCGAUCGUUGUGGAUGCUCCGGCGGCCCCCGCCCCGGUUUCGAGCGCACCCGCAUACGCUAUCAUCGGUGCCAUCAGCUUCUCGCAUCUCCUCAACGACCUGAUGCAGUCGCG
This 260-nucleotide unclassified non-coding RNA is filed under the name Hevea brasiliensis (rubber tree). Lineage: Eukaryota; Viridiplantae; Streptophyta; Magnoliopsida; Malpighiales; Euphorbiaceae. The record is from RNAcentral.